GACGAACGCUGGCGGCGUGCCUAAUACAUGCAAGUUGAGCGCUGAAGGUUGGUACUUGUACCAACUGGAUGAGCAGCGAACGGGUGAGUAACGCGUGGGGAAUCUGCCUUUGAGCGGGGGACAACAUUUGGAAACGAAUGCUAAUACCGCAUAAGAACUUUAAACACAAGUUUUAAGUUUGAAAGAUGCAAUUGCAUCACUCAAAGAUGAUCUCGCGUUGUAUUAGCUAGUUGGUGAGGUAAAGGCUCACCAAGGCGAUGAUACAUAGCCGAACUGAGAGGGUGAUCGGCCACACUGGGACUGAGACCCGCCCCAAACUCAUACGGGAGGCAGCAGUAGGGAAUCGUCGGCAAUGGACGAAAGUCUGACCGAGCAACGCCGAGUGAGUGAAGAAGGUUGUCGGAUCGGAAAACUCUGUUGGUAGAGAAGAACGUUGGUGAGAGUGGAAAGCUCCUCAAGUGACGGUAACUACCCAGAAAGGGACGGCUAACUACGUG
RNAcentral lists this ribosomal RNA (497 nucleotides) under uncultured bacterium. RNAcentral's name for it is "partial 16S ribosomal RNA". It matches the Rfam family "Bacterial small subunit ribosomal RNA", at positions 28 to 507 of the family's 1533-position model. The record is from RNAcentral.